GAUGAACGCUGGCGGUAUGCUUAACACAUGCAAGUCGAACGGACUCUUCGGAGUUAGUGGCGGACGGGUGAGUAACGCGUGAGAAUCUGGCUUUGGGUUCGGGACAACCACUGGAAACGGUGGCUAAUACCGGAUGUGCCGAGAGGUAAAAGAGAAAUUGCCUGAAGAUGAGCUCGCGUCUGAUUAGCUAGUUGGGGAGGUAAAGGCUCACCAAGGCAGCGAUCAGUAGCUGGUCUGAGAGGAUGACCAGCCACACUGGGACUGAGACACGGCCCAGACUCCUACGGGAGGCAGCAGUGGGGAAUUUUCCGCAAUGGGCGAAAGCCUGACGGAGCAAUACCGCGUGAGGGAAGAAGGCUCUUGGGUUGUAAACCUCUUUUCUUAGGGAAGAACAAAAUGACGGUACCUAAGGAAUCAGCAUCGGCUAACUCCGUG
This 435-nucleotide ribosomal RNA is filed under the name uncultured bacterium. RNAcentral's name for it is "partial 16S ribosomal RNA". It matches the Rfam family "Bacterial small subunit ribosomal RNA", at positions 28 to 507 of the family's 1533-position model. The record is from RNAcentral.